UACGUAGGGGGCAAGCGUUGUCCGGAAUUAUUGGGCGUAAAGAGCUCGUAGGCGGUCUGUCGCGUCGGAUGUGAAAACCCGGAGCUCAACUCCGGGCCUGCAGUCGAUACGGGCAGACUGGAGUUCGGCAGGGGAGACUGGAAUUCCUGGUGUAGCGGUGAAAUGCGCAGAUAUCAGGAGGAACACCGGUGGCGAAGGCGGGUCUCUGGGCCGAUACUGACGCUGAGGAGCGAAAGCGUGGGGAGCGAACAGG
Molecule: ribosomal RNA, 253 nt
Filed under: uncultured bacterium
Lineage: Bacteria
Description: partial 16S ribosomal RNA
Rfam family: Bacterial small subunit ribosomal RNA
Source: RNAcentral